Molecule: long non-coding RNA, 844 nt
Filed under: Sus scrofa (pig)
Lineage: Eukaryota; Metazoa; Chordata; Mammalia; Artiodactyla; Suidae
Description: lncRNA (ENSSSCG00025056456.1)
Source: RNAcentral
UGGCUAAGUAAGAGUCCAGCCUGUGAACGGCCUCCAAGCCUGAGCCCAGAGAAGACCGAGCCCCGGCACGAACCUGAUUCCUGCUGCGUGUGUGUUUUUUUAUAUUUGCCAAACACGAGGUUGUCCUUGUGAAUUUCCCUGCACAAUAGCUGACACCCGGGAGAGGGUGCGCGGGCCCCGGCGCCGCUGGGACAGAGACUGGCUUUCCAACCAGAGGAGAGAAUGGAUAGUGAAAUUUUUUUCUUGUCAGUUAACUUCAAAAUAAAACAAAACUGUUUGACCCGUGGAGUUUAUUCAGACGGAAAGCCAGGUUGCCUGACUCGUCCAGUUUGCAAUUUUCCCAGCGCAUCGGCUUUGGCCCCGGAGACAACACCCCCAGGGAGAGGCACAUUUUCAAAGCCACCCUUCACCGGCCCCAGGCCCGGGGCUCUGAUCUCCCUGAGCGCCUCAGUUGGUCCCGGAAAGCGAGGAGAAGAGGGGGUGCAGAGGAAGAAGUGCACCCAAAGAGCUGGCGAAGGCCCCCAUAGUGUUCCAGAGACGUCAGGUGGUGACGGCGGAAGCACUGAAAAUGCGCAGCCUAGAGGUCGCCCCAACCGCGUGCCCUGGCUCUCCGCCCCACUGCCCGCAGCCUGUCAUCGGGCUCCGGAACGCAGCGCCCACGCCGGGCUGUCGCGAUCGGGACCCGGCCCCGCGGCCCCGCAGCCCCGGGCCGACCCCGCGCGCCGCCGGCGGCCGCCAGUUCGGCGCGGAGGUGGGCUCGCUGCGGCGGCGCGCGAAAGGUCACCGCGGUGGCAUUCCUGUCCGCGCGCUGUUUACGUGACUUAAUGUACUUCGUCCGCCGCGG